UUUGUGUGUGUGUGUGUGUGUGUUUGUGUGUGUGCACACUAACAGGAGGUCCAGGUGCAGCCUUUGGAUAUUGUUGAAGAUUUACUGCCCCUGCAAGACCUUCCUCAACUGCGUAGUCUGGAGCAAAGGAUGCAACAGAGCCCAGAUUACAAGCAAAAUCUGGUAAACUGGUUGGCGCUUAUUGACGGGGUGUAUGUGCGUGACUGCACCUGGCGCAUAUUGAAGAGGGUGAUUGCUAACUUCCUUGGCAAAGAACCUCAAUUGGAGGGGAGUCAAUGGAAAGACUUCACUGUCCGCUCUCCAACUCGGAGAGGUCAUGAUUGCUGCAGUUCAUAGAAACCUCUUCACGGCUAAAGCUGCAGAGAUGGAGGUCGAGGGGACCAUGAAGAGGCGGCUCCAGCUGGCAUCAGAGCGAGAGUGUGGGCGCAAGAGCAGACUUUUGAUAAAGGAGGGUAUUUACAGUGUUUUAACUGGUGUGUUUUUUGCGCUAUUUAUUAAUUUGUUAAAAUGUUCAUAUUAUAGUCUAUUUUUAAUUGUUUAUAAAAGUCCUUGCUGUUUUUAAGUGGCUGAAUUAGUGUGUGUGCGCGCGUGUGUGUGUGCGUGUUGGUAGCUGGGUGGGUAUAUAGUUCUGGUCGGAAGUUGACAUACCCCUUGCAGGAGAAAGAGACCCUGUGUAAUCUGUUUAAACGACGUUUACGCAUGUUUUGCAGAGAGAUCAUUUUCACCUUGCUGUUUGGGUCUCUGUCCCACACUGUUACAGUGCAGUAUUGAGAGCGCGAGGGAGAUCGAUUUUCUAUCAGAAACAGUAACUAUAUAAAAUGGACGUCAACACGCACCACUCUGUGAGGUCAUUUCUCGCUCUCAACAGAGUAGUUGUGAUUGUUCAGUGUUUACGACGGGGCCAAAACAUUCAAGGCCAUGGUGUAUUUUGACUGUUCCUGUAGCAUAAUCUCACCAAACUGUGUGUACACGAGUCCACAGACACUGAGUCUAUUCACAGUUCCAUGCUGUGUAGAUGUUCUGCUCAUCCUCACUGUACCGUAAAGGUCAGAACCUCACAUCUGUAACCUUGUAGCUUUCCUUAAUCAACACGACUGCGACCAAGCUUGUGUAGCACUACUAUUUUUAGAUCUCCGCCUCUCAAAAGUAUUGGCGCCCUGCGCGUCCGCCUCUCAAAUCUUUUGGCGCCCUACGCGGCCAGCUCUCAAAUUUGUUGGCGCCCUAUGCGUCCGGCUGUCAAAUCUAUUGGCGCCCUAUGCGUCCAGCUCUCAAAACUAUUGGCGCCCUUCACGGGCAGUUCUCAAAAGUAUUGGCACCCGAUCUGAAUUUUGCCACGGCAAGCACCACUCACAUUUUCUUCAGGAAAUGUACCUUAAAAUAAUAAAAAGUCUCUCACUAGGCUGUGUGUCGAAAUAAACGUGAAAACAUCUUGAGCUUGCGUUCACCACAGACCUUAUUUCCGGCAUUUAACCCAAAACCCCAUUGACGGAAGUGCUAAUACGCUGAAUCGUUUCUGGGUUUCACGACUCAUUCCUGCAGCACUCUGUAAGACGGGCUGUUGUUAUCAAACCAUCGAAGUAAGAUAAGCGGCUUUGGUAAUGAUUCUUUAAAUGAACCGAUUCAGAAUCCUCUUCUUGAAUCGUUUGAGUCGUUCUCACUCGGUCAGGGUUGCACGUGUGGGUUGCUUUUCCUGCACGUGUUCACAGACCGUAAAUCCCGACCCCAUGGUAGACACUCGACAGAAAUUUCAUACUAAAGUAAGUAUUUUAUAUUUUCUGGGUCUAAACAGAGCAGAAGUAUUGCUAACGUGUUGUACAGAUUCUAUUGGACUGGUGAACUGUGUGGAUUUGUAUAUUUAACCCAGUUUAAUAUGGCCUGCUUUGUUCAGUCAGAGACAAGUAAAUCUGUUCUAAUGUUCAUUUAUUUUCCAUAGAUAAAACACAUGUUUGUUUACACAUGAAUACGUACUUUAUGCCUUCAGAAUGGUGGAGAUUUGUCUCUUAACUAUUUUAAAUUUGGUUCUCUUCAACAGGUUGUGUUUGAGUUGUGCAGGCUUGUGUCACCUGACUUAAAGAAGGCAUUGUUUGAAGGGCUUGAUCAGCAUCUCCCACGGCUCCUGCAGUUGUACAACACCGAGAGGCAGUGAAAUACCCGAAAUCCAACAUGUGAUGACCCGCAUUGAUCAAGAGUUAGAUUCAGCUUCGGACACAAGUUCCAGGUACUGAUCGAGAAGGAGUGGAUCAGCUUCGGACACAAGCUGACCUCGCGUGUCGGCCUUGGAGAUGAGAAUCACGCCAACUCUGAAUGAUCCCCUCUCUUUGUGCAGUUCAUCGACUGUGUGUGGCAGAUGAUGAGACAGGUCAGCUACUGAUGCUUUACAUCACAACACUGUUGAAUUCUCCAGUCUGAUUGGUCAGAAGGCGUUGGAGACAUUUCUGGAACAGCAAGAUUCUGAUUCCAGCUGCAAGGGAAAUUACAGCUUUAUAGUGAUGUUCUCGUUCCUAUAGUAACAGCUCAUUGACAGGGUCUAGUAUGGCAUACGCAAUACAUAUUCUAAGCUUAAUCGUAAACAUAUUAUAAACAUGUUACUUAAAGAAAAAGACGUAUGAUCAUUGUGAUCUAGUUAAGAUUUAUAAGUUAUCUAUUUAUGGAAGUUUUAUGGAAGUAGUCUCCAGUGUCACGGCAGAGAGGACACUGCACUUUCCAGUUUCUCAGUAACAUUGCAAGUCUUAUUAAUUUCAAGAGUUAGGGGGGAAAAAGAGAGGUUUGUGAGGGAACUAUUGUUUUAUUUUAAUGUUAUAAAGUAAGAGAUCAUAAUGAGAACUAACUCUCUUUUCCAGGACAUUCCAAAUUGUUCUUUGGCUAUGCCCCAUGUUUGUGCAAUGGUUCAGACCGGUUUUUCCUCUUUUCGCAGCUUCAAAAUGGCUUGCUUUUCUCCCAUAGACAGCUCUCUGGUCUUAUUGUCGGUUUAUUCUUUUUAACAACAAAUGCUGUCUCCACAGGUGAAACCCAGGGCUCAAACCAAGAGAAGACAUUCAGAGCUAUUCAUUCUUUAAAGUCAAUUUAACAAGUUUCCUUCUGCUUCUGAGUUCAAAGAGCUUUUUCUCAUCCCCAUCCUGGAUCGCCCCUACAGCUGCCUGUUUGGUACAUUCCUCUACAGCAGUGAGCAGGAGAGAAUGGAAAAGGAAGUACAGGGUAAAACGGUCACUGCGGUCCUACAUUAAGUCAGCCAGAGGACUUCACUAACCCGUUCUAUGUGGACUGUAAAAACCAGGUGCUGUAUCCACUGGCCAGUCUCACACAUCUGGAGCUCUGGGUGGGUUAUUAUGUGCGCUGGAACCCACGCAUGAGACCUCAGAAAACUACAUGAACGUACAAGUGUUCCUAAUAAAGUGGACGGUGAGUGAACAUGACGUGGCUGAAACGAUUUCCAAAACACUUCAGGAGCAGCUAGCGAUAAAGAUUAAGGUUACACCGGCUUGAUGAUUGAUCUUUUAAUAAUGAUACAUAAAUAAAUAGAAAGCGAAUGGAAUGAUUUAGAAAAUCGGUGUCCCAGAACGAAACUGAUGUUUGUGUGCUUUGUUGAUUAUGUAGAUGCCGCUCCAUCAGAAUUUGAGAGAGUUAUUGUUUUUGCGUGAAGAACGUGGAGGAGCUCCAGAGAGAGGCCACGUCAUCCUGCUCCAUCUCCUCAUCCUCAGAGCAUACUUCUCCCUCCUCACAUAGUGCACACUUCCUUCCAUCCUACACAGGGUUGUGGGGAGCCUGGAGUCUAUCCCAGGGAACUCGGGGCACAAGGCAGGGGACACCCUGGACAGGGUGCCAACCCAUCACAGGGCACAAUCACUCGUGCACACACACACUGGACAAUUUUGGAGAUGCCAGUCCACCUACAACGGAUGUCUUUGGACUGGGGGAGGAAACCCCUGAAGCACAUUUGCAGGGACAUCGAGGAAAUUUAGUGAAACCCAGUCAGUGAUCUUAUUGGAUAAUUAGUCUCUAAUGAUUUGACCUUGUUUGUUACGCUGCUAAAUAUUUUCCAAAGGUAUGGAAGUGAUGUUAAGUCAGCAGACGUAUUGUGUGGGUUUGUGUUCUCUCUCCCUCCCCCUGUUUUUUUCUCACAGGUCGCUCUGCCCUAAUUCGUUGUGCUGACGUGCUGCAUGGGGAUUGGAGAGGAGAAGACUGUCCCUCUUUUAAAAAGGAGGACGAACAAUAUGUUGGGAGGAAUGCGGAUGUGUGGGGUGUCUGUGUCUGCGUGUGUACGACUGAGUAGCGAAUGUUUUUCCUGGUGUUUGAGUGAAAUCGCUUGCUUGUUGUGUGUGUACGAGUGAAAGAAGUGAGUGGAAGUAUAUUGUGUUGUCCCAUUCCCCUGGUUUGUCUUGUGUUGUGGCUGAGUGUACGCCUGAAUUGUAAAUACAUCUUUCAUUGUAAAUAUUUCUCUUCUUACUGUCAUGAAAGCUGUAGGGGUUGUGUGGCGUUUAUUUUUGGGCUCUACCUUUUGUUCGCUGUUUUUGCCUCAGUUAGGGAGUCAGGUUAGACUCUAUUUUCUUUUGACAUACCUUUUUUGUUAGGUUAGUUAAACUGAUACAGGGAAGAUAUUGACUGUUUUGUUUAUUACAUUGGCCUUGCCAGCCCUGAAGAGUGGUGCUUUCUGAGUGAUUCUGUUUGUUUUGCAUUAUUUUUCUUGUGAUCAUUAAAUUUGUAAGAUUUGAAAGACGUGAGGUAAUGAGAUAAUGAGGUGUUAACCUCAUUAAUUCUCAGUCUGAUUUGUUUUUGUUUAUACUUUUUUUUAUGUUACACCUCGACCCUAUACCGGGGUCGUAACAGUGAGUCAAAAAUAACUUCCAUUUCCUUUUAUGAAGUUUUGUGGGCAUUGCUACAUGGAAAUGAGCUGUGUCAGGAACACGGUUUGCACUUUAGAGGUGAACAACAUGCGUACACAAGUACGAAGAACAGCGGUGUUUCCGAAACUUUUAUAAAUCCGGCAGAAACGUUUAGUUUAGUUUGACUUGGGCAAACAUUUACACAUAACUUUAAAAAAGUCGGAAUUCAAAGAGACUGCAGUGUAACGAGGUCAUUUAUGAGCAUGAUGUUCCUCCCAGACUGCAUUUCAUACCCUGCACACUUUGAAAACCACCUGAUAGAAGGAUGGUACUGUCAUCGUUACAGAGCAGUGGCACAUAGCAUACAGAGCACAUAGCAUACAGAGCAUGGCCCAGACCCUUUAUGAGGAGGAUGAAGGUGGGGUAGCAGCGAGGAAAACAACGUUCAGAGGAUUCAAGACUAAAAAAAAUUGUGAUUCUGUCCUUCGAUUGGAAGGAAAUGGAAAUACAGAGAAUGAGCAUGCUGCUAUAUGCAGAAAGAUUAUCAACCAACGACAGGAUGGUGCAAUGUGACGCACCACGAAGCUAAACAGGUCUUCCUGAUGCUUUUUAUUCCUUAUACCACAGCAAUUUGACAAUUAAACAUUUUAAUCAUUAAAAGAACGAUAUUGUACUUUUUCUCUCUCCUAAAGUUACGAUGAACCACAAAGGGUAAUGCCCUCUCUUCUGAAGACUGGUGGAAAAGUUCAAAUCUAAAAUCUAGUUCAUUAAACACAAGCCUUCUUAAAGCUGUUUACAGAGUCCACACAAGUCAUGCUUUAAGUACCUGGAC
Ictalurus punctatus (channel catfish) is the source of this 5652-nucleotide long non-coding RNA. RefSeq lists it as uncharacterized. Lineage: Eukaryota; Metazoa; Chordata; Actinopteri; Siluriformes; Ictaluridae. The record is from RefSeq and is a predicted model, not a curated record. The transcript is spliced from 9 exons.